UAAAAGGCGUUGAAAAGGACAUGAAUGAUUAUCAUUUUUUCUUUACAGAGAAAAGAGCAUCUGCUGAGAGCUCUUAAGAAAAAGAAAUCGUUUACCACCUUUGAGCUUUUGCAGGGAAAUAAAUAAUUAGAGUAUCUGCAAACGGAAUAAACCGUUAUCAAAUCUUUGAGCAUAGAGCCGUUUACGCUUUAUGGAACUUAGGGUGGAACCACGACCGCACUCGUCCCUUAU
This is a regulatory RNA element of 231 nucleotides. It matches the Rfam family "T-box leader". Rfam says of the family: Uncharged tRNA acts as the effector for transcription antitermination of genes in the T-box leader family. T-boxes are found upstream of many aminoacyl-tRNA synthetase genes and some amino acid biosynthetic genes usually in Gram-positive bacteria. The anticodon of a specific tRNA base pairs to a specifier sequence within the T-box motif, and the NCCA acceptor tail of the tRNA base pairs to a conserved bulge in the T-box antiterminator hairpin. The record is from Rfam.